Molecule: ribosomal RNA, 86 nt
Filed under: Jeotgalicoccus aerolatus
Lineage: Bacteria; Bacillati; Bacillota; Bacilli; Caryophanales; Staphylococcaceae
Source: RNAcentral
UGUUCCCAUGUCGAACACAGCAGUUAAGCUCUCCAGCGCCGAUGGUAGUUGGACUGACGUCCCGCAAGAGUAGGACGCUGCCAGGC